ACUCAAAGGAAUUGACGGGGGCCCGCACAAGCGGUGGAGCAUGUUGUUUAAUACGUCACUAACCGUAGAACCUUACCAGGGCUUGACAUCGGCUGAUCGCCGUAGAAAUACGGUUUUCCCCGCAAGGGGACAGCUAGACAGGUGUUGCAUGGCUGUCGUCAGCUCGUGUCGUGAGAUGUUGGGUUAAGUCCCGCAACGAGCGCAACCCUCACCCCAUGUUGCCAGCGGAUCAAGCCGGGCACUCUUGGGGAACUGCCUGGGUAACCGGGAGGAAGGUGGGGAUGACGUCAAGUCAGCAUGGCCCUUACGCCCUGGGCUACAAACAUGCUACAAUGGACGGUAGACAAAGGGAACCGAGACCGCGAGGUGGAGGCAAUCUCAAAAAUCCGUUCCCAGUUCAGAUCGCAGGCUGCAACUCGCCUGCGUGAAGUCGGAAUCGCUAGUAACCGCCGAUCAGCGAAGCGGCGGUGAAUACGUUCCCGGGCCUUGUACACACCGCCCGU
Molecule: ribosomal RNA, 503 nt
Filed under: uncultured bacterium
Lineage: Bacteria
Description: partial 16S ribosomal RNA
Rfam family: Bacterial small subunit ribosomal RNA
Source: RNAcentral